Fukomys damarensis (Damara mole-rat) is the source of this 2180-nucleotide long non-coding RNA. The record is from Ensembl. NCBI's taxonomy places the organism in Eukaryota, Metazoa, Chordata, Mammalia, Rodentia, Bathyergidae.
GCUGAAGUGGCGCAGACGACGAAGGAAUAACACGCGGUAGAAGAAAGUACGACAAGAACAAGACAUGCGUUUGCUAGUGGAUUGGCCCCUCUCCACUGAAGUGGUCACUCAAAGAGAAAUGCGCAGAAUUGAAAGACGGCGGGGUAACACACAGUGGAUGGGUUCGGCUUGAUUCCGUAUGUGGCAGCAACCCAAGGGAGAGGAAGUUCAGCAGUGGAGCACACCUUCCUACCUGCUGUUUGGAGCCGCGGGAAGAAGGGACACUCCAAAGUAGCAAGCCGGGUGGAAGAAAUCUGAACAGUAAGACUCCUGCUCUGGUUGUGUUGCUUUCAGGAGGAGUAACGACGCCCCUGCUCCCGCUGGCCUAGGGAGUAGGGUUCUUUUAGUUUUGUUGCUAAUCCAGCCAAGCCUACUUUUUCUGGCUGCUGCGGAGGUGACUUCACCUUCAGGAGUGUUCGGGGACCCUCCCAGGACCCCGAGUCCUUCCUACUUUACCCCGCAGGACUCUGCGCCGCCGCCACCGCCGCUGCAGUCAAGCGGGGCUGAACUGGAACUUUUGACGCAGGACGGACUUCUCAAGGUUGAUUUCUCUCGGAAAACCGAGCCUUGGUUUAAUGUUUAGAAUUGAAAACGUCGGUUUUCUCGUGUGCAAGGCGGGGAUAAUAAAUACCAGGUCACCGGGCUACUGCUUAUGAAUUGGCUUUUUCGAUGGCAAGCGAAUAGCACAACUGGUAAACUGAGGGAAGGGUUCCUCCCCUCCCGCGCCACAGCCAGGACCUUCACGAAUCAGCCCUCAGGGCCCGUUUUGUUUCAGAAGGUAUGCUGCCCACAGAGAGAGACAGCAACAAGGAGAAAGCCAAACACAGAGUCGUGGUCAUUCGGAAUUAAAGAUGUGGACAUCCUGAAAGGGUACGUUACUCCCUAAAAGUAGUUUCAGAGAGGAGGCCACACUUUUAAUUUCUUAAGAAAAAAGGAAGAAUUUUAAAGCGACUUUAAUGUGUAAGUCACGCCGGGCAGAGUCCCACGGACAAUUCCACCCACCUCAGGGAGCCGGACAGUGCCCAUCCAGGCUGUGGCUGAAAGCCCAGGUGCAGAACGUCUCUCUGGCUCCUGGUCUCUCUGUCCAAGGUCCGCCCCACCCCCACCAGCUCUGGAAGGAGAAACGACAUUUCCAUGUGCGGUGCGGUCAACAGCCGGAGCCUUGUAAACACCGGCGAUGCCAGCCUGCCUCGAGCUGCCCCCAAUCCCGUCUGUUUUCUGUAGCACGGAUGGCAUCAAGUGCGAGGACAGGCCCCUCAGCAUCUCCACCGUGGGAAAGUUCAUCUCCCCCUGGGUGUUCUGCUGCUGUGAACCUUUGAGAUAUUUUCUGAGAAGAACCUGCAUUUCUACAGAUGGCAUGGAAAAAAAAAAAUGAAGGCUGCAGAACACACCAUUAUUCCUGAGAGCCUCUCAGUUCAUUAGUUGAAGCAGCCAAGUCUUCACGAGCCACAACUGAUCAGCAAAUGGGAAAUGAGCGAGAGUAUAAAUUCCCAGCAAACCAAAUCAUUAACAUUUGCUGCCUGCAUCCUGGAAACACAGUAAAUCAAAUGUGUCAUCAUUUAUCAAGACAAAAUAUCAUUACUAAUUGGGAUUAAUUUGCUGCUGUGGGAUUGCUGACCUUUGCUGAAAGAAAAUAAAACUGCUCGUUAGCUGACUUCAUUUAAUUUUCCUUGAGGAAGGGAGAGGGAAAAAGGCAGUCUGGCUUGGGGAGGCAGGAGGAGGGUGAGGUGGGGCGUAUUCUUAUCUUCCAAACAACUGCACAUUCCGAAGUCAAGAAGUGAUGAGAAAACCUGCUGAUGUUCUCUUGCCAGUCCAGACUCCAGAAUGUUUGCCGUGCGUCCAGGGCUAGCAACGCCUCUUGUUGUCAUUGCCUCUGAUUUAGCUCUGUUGUAGAAAGGGAUAAUUGGAAAAAUCACCAGGUGAAAUUAUAUGUGGCUUCCUGUAUAAAUAGGAGAAGGCAAGAGCAACUGCCAGGGUGCACAGGGACCUGUCUGUGCGUACUAAUAUUAACAGAGAUUUGAAAGACAGAGCGCAUGCGUCUGGGCAUUCCCCAGCAACUCUGCACCUGGCUGAGGUCCACACGGAAACGCCGUGUCAGUAACUCUGAGGAUGAUCUUUUACGUUUAGUAGGUGCCCGUGCG